GCGGGGCAUAGUGGCGCACGCCUUUAAUCCCAGCACUUGGGAGGCAGAGGCAGGCAGAUUUCUGAGUUCGAGGCCAGCCUGGUCUACAAGUGAGUCCCAGGACAGCCAGGGCUGUACAGAGAAACCCUGUCUCGAAAAAACAAACAAACAAACAAUUUGUUUCUUCGAGACAGGGUUUCUCUGUGUAGCCCUGGCUGUCCUGGAACUCACUUGUAGACCAGGCUGACCUCGAACUCAGAAAUCUGCCUGCCAA
Molecule: non-coding RNA, 253 nt
Organism: Mus musculus (house mouse)
Lineage: Eukaryota; Metazoa; Chordata; Mammalia; Rodentia; Muridae
Source: Rfam